This 67-nucleotide transfer RNA is filed under the name Marmota monax (woodchuck). RNAcentral describes it as "tRNA.Ala". The record is from RNAcentral. Lineage: Eukaryota; Metazoa; Chordata; Mammalia; Rodentia; Sciuridae.
GGUUGUAGCUCAGCGGAAAUGCACUUGCCUAGCAUGUGUGAGGCACUGGGUUCGAUUCUCAGCACCA